RNAcentral lists this ribosomal RNA (406 nucleotides) under uncultured bacterium. Its description in RNAcentral is "partial 16S ribosomal RNA". It matches the Rfam family "Bacterial small subunit ribosomal RNA", at positions 30 to 526 of the family's 1533-position model. The record is from RNAcentral.
AUUGAACGCUGGCGGCAGGCCUAACACAUGCAAGUCGAACGAGUGGCGGACGGGUGAGUAAUGUCUGGGAAACUGCCCGAUGGAGGGGGAUAACUACUGGAAACGGUAGCUAAUACCGCAUACCAUCGGAUGUGCCCAGAUGGGAUAAGCUAGUAGGUGGGGUAACGGCUCACCUCGGCGACGAUCCCAAGCUUGUCUGAGAGGCUGACCAGCCACCCUGGAACUGAGACACGGUCCAGACUCCUACGAGAGGCAGCAGUGGGGAAUAUUGCACAAUGGGCGCAAUCCUGAUUCAGCCAUGCAGCGUGUAUGAAGAAGGCCUUCGGGUUGUAAAGUACUUUCAGCGAGGAGGCGUUACUCGCAGAAGAAGCACCGGCUAACUCCGUGCCAGCAGCCGCGGUAAUAC